This 253-nucleotide ribosomal RNA is filed under the name uncultured bacterium. RNAcentral's name for it is "partial 16S ribosomal RNA". It matches the Rfam family "Bacterial small subunit ribosomal RNA", at positions 524 to 776 of the family's 1533-position model. The record is from RNAcentral.
UACGUAGGGUGCAAGCGUUAAUCGGAAUUACUGGGCGUAAAGCGCACGUAGGCGGCUUUGUAAGUUAGAGGUGAAAGCCCAGGGCUCAACCCUGGAAUUGCCUUUAAGACUGCAUCGCUUGAACAUCGGAGAGGUAAGUGGAAUUCCGAGUGUAGAGGUGAAAUUCGUAGAUAUUCGGAAGAACACCAGUGGCGAAGGCGACUUACUGGACGAUUGUUGACGCUGAGGUGCGAAAGCGUGGGGAGCAAACAGG